Molecule: ribosomal RNA, 447 nt
Filed under: uncultured bacterium
Lineage: Bacteria
Description: bacterial SSU rRNA
Rfam family: Bacterial small subunit ribosomal RNA
Source: RNAcentral
UCGGGAAUUUUGGGCAAUGGGGGAAACCCUGACCCAGCAACGCCGCGUGAAGGAUGAAGUAUUUCGGUAUGUAAACUUCGAAAGAAUAGGAAGAAUAAAUGACGGUACUAUUUAUAAGGUCCGGCUAACUACGUGCCAGCAGCCGCGGUAAUACGUAGGGACCAAGCGUUGUUCGGAUUUACUGGGCGUAAAGGGCGCGUAGGCGGCAUGACAAGUCACUUGUGAAAUCUUUGGGCUUAACCCAGAACGGCCAAGUGAUACUGUCGCGCUAGAGUGCAGAAGGGGCAAUCGGAAUUCUUGGUGUAGCGGUGAAAUGCGUAGAUAUCAAGAGGAACACCUGAGGUGAAGACGGGUUGCUGGGCUGACACUGACGCUGAGGCGCGAAAGCCAGGGGAGCAAACGGGAUUAGAUACCCUGGUAGUCCCUGAGCGGGCUGGCAAGGCGCAU